This 461-nucleotide ribosomal RNA is filed under the name uncultured beta proteobacterium. Its description in RNAcentral is "bacterial SSU rRNA". It matches the Rfam family "Bacterial small subunit ribosomal RNA", at positions 200 to 642 of the family's 1533-position model. The record is from RNAcentral. Lineage: Bacteria; Pseudomonadati; Pseudomonadota; Betaproteobacteria.
AGGAAAGCAGGGGAUCGCAAGACCUUGCGCUUUUGGAGCGGCCGAUGUCUGAUUAGCUAGUUGGUGAGGUAAAGGCUUACCAAGGCUUCGAUCAGUAGCUGGUCUGAGAGAACGACCAGCCACACUGGGACUGAGACACGGCCCAGACUCCUACGGGAGGCAGCAGUGGGGAAUUUUGGACAAUGGGGGCAACCCCGAUCCAGCCAUGCCGCGUGAGUGAAGAAGGCCUUCGGGUUGUAAAGCUCUUUCAGCCGGAACGAAACGGUCACGGUUAAUAACUGUGAUCACUGACGGUACCGGAAGAAGAAGCACCGGCUAACUACGUGCCAGCAGCCGCGGUAAUACGUAGGGUGCGAGCGUUAAUCGGAAUUACUGGGCGUAAAGCGUGCGCAGGCGGUUUUGUAAGUCAGAUGUGAAAUCCCCGGGCUUAACCUGGGAACUGCGUUUGAAACUACAAGGCU